RNAcentral lists this ribosomal RNA (243 nucleotides) under Bacteroidota bacterium. RNAcentral's name for it is "Bacteroidetes bacterium partial 16S ribosomal RNA". It matches the Rfam family "Bacterial small subunit ribosomal RNA", at positions 1290 to 1533 of the family's 1533-position model. Lineage: Bacteria; Pseudomonadati; Bacteroidota. The record is from RNAcentral.
AGUUCGGAUUGGAGUCUGCAACUCGACUCCAUGAAGCCGGAAUCGCUAGUAAUCGCGUAUCAGCAACGACGCGGUGAAUACGUUCCCGGGCCUUGUACACACCGCCCGUCAAGCCAUGGAAGCUUAGGGUACCCGAAGUCCGUGACCCAACCUUGGAGGGAGCGGCCGAAGGUAAAUUAAGUGACUGGGGCUAAGUCGUAACAAGGUAGCCGUACGGGAACGUGCGGCUGGAUCACCUCCUAA